AACGAACGCUGGCGGCAUGCCUAACACAUGCAAGUCGAACGAGACCUUCGGGUCUAUUGGCGCACGGGUUCGUAACGCGUGGGAACCUGCCCUUAGGUUCGGAAUAACUCCCCGAAAGGGGUGCUAAUACCGGAUAAUGUCUUCGGACCAAAGAUUUAUCGCCUUUGGAUGGGCCCGCGUUGUAUUAGCUAGUUGGUAGGGUAAAAGCCUACCAAGGCGACGAUCCAUAGCUGGUCUGAGAGGAUGAUCAGCCACACUGGGACUGAGAAACGGCCCAGACUACUACGGGAGGCAGCAGUGGGGAAUAUUGGAAAAUGGGCGAAAGCAUGAUCCAGCAAUGCCGCGUGAGUGAUGAAGGCCUUAGGGUUGUAAAGCUCUUUUAACCGGGAUGAUAAUGACAGUACCGGGAGAAUAAGCUCCGGCUAACUCCGUG
Molecule: ribosomal RNA, 433 nt
Filed under: uncultured bacterium
Lineage: Bacteria
Description: partial 16S ribosomal RNA
Rfam family: Bacterial small subunit ribosomal RNA
Source: RNAcentral